UACGUAGGGCGCAAGCGUUGUCCGGAAUUAUUGGGCGUAAAGAGCUCGUAGGCGGUCUGUCGCGUCUGUUGUGAAAACUCGAGGCUCAACCUCGGGCUUGCAGUGGAUACGGGCAGACUAGAGUGCGGUAGGGGAGACUGGAAUUCCUGGUGUAGCGGUGGAAUGCGCAGAUAUCGGGGAGGAACACCAGCGGCGAAGGCGGCACUCUGGUACGUGACUGACGCUGAGACGCGAAAGCGUGGGGAGCGAACGAGG
Molecule: ribosomal RNA, 255 nt
Filed under: uncultured bacterium
Lineage: Bacteria
Description: partial 16S ribosomal RNA
Rfam family: Bacterial small subunit ribosomal RNA
Source: RNAcentral